CCGCUCUCGCGUAGAUCGGCGGCGGCUACAAGUGCGGCUCUGAAUCCAUCUCUCGCACCUCACCCCACCGCUAAGCCCUGGCACCGUAGCUGACGUCGCCGCAGAAGCCUCGCCCCUCCCAAGCCCCAAUUCCUCCGCCUCUCACGCGCUCGUCGCCGUCGCCGCCGCCCCCAUCCUCCCCUCGUCGCGUCGUCCCGUCGCUUCUUCCUCAGCCCCGUCCGCGGUCUUAACGACUUAAUCAUCGGGAGACCAGACUUUAGAAGCCACUUGCCCAAACUAUCAAAAUCCUUGUUUGACGAAUAAGAAGCCAAAAAACUCUUCAGGACAGCGAGUUAACUCUAGUUCCUCUGUGACAUGUCUUCUCCAUCACAGCUACAACAAUUGCAACCACUAAUGGAGGCAAAUGGUCACUCCGAUUUGCUGACAAUAGAAGCAGUACGCAAGUUCAUAUUUGAAGCUGGACAUGGGCCUGAUGUUCUAAACUCGUCAUAUUUGAAGGAGACGGUUCGUGCGAUUGCCAAUAAGUUUCAGGUUGGAAUUCCUACAUAUAAAUCACUUCUGCUGGAGGAACUAAAAGAAACACAGACCCGUGAAAGGGAACUGAAGCAAGAAUGGGAGAAAAGUGGUUGCAGUGUAAUUCUGGAUAGUUGGGGAUGUGGUGCAAAAAGCUUCGUAAGUGUUUUGGUACAUUGCAGGAAAGGCAUGUUGUUCCUCAGAUCCAAAGAUGUGUCUGCAAUCAUUGAGGACGUGGAUAUGCUAGAAGAAAUGAUUUCUUGCGUGGUUGAUGAAGUUGGCGCCAGUAACAUAGUUCAAGUUGUCAUGAAUGACGCAUCGCCAUAUAUGCAAAAUGCACGGCAUAGAGUGCUGAAGAAACAUCGCCAUUCAUUCUUCUUCCCGCUGUGUGCUGACUUUUGCAUCAACUUUCUGCUUGGGAAAAUUGCAGCACUUGGUCACAUCAGUGAGGUUCUAACGAUGGCAAAGGAAAUAACAAGGUUUAUAAAUGGCAAUGAGAUGCCAGUUAAACUUGUUGGAAACGGCAAGAUAGUGAGCAAUUCUUGUUUGAAAUAUGUUGCUGCAUUCUUGACACUAGAGAAGCUAGUUUCCGAGAGAGCAAAUCUGGUGGAGAUGUUUAACUCUCCUGAAUGGGCUUCCUCUGAUUGGGAUGCUAGCAGUACUUUCCGGUAUAUCUGUGACAUAGUGAAGACAGAUGCAUUUUGGUGUGCUGCGGCUGAUGUUUUAAAGGUUACAAUUCCAUUCGUCAAGGUGUUGUUUAAAUUAGAACGUGAUGAUUGUCCAAUGAGUAUCUUGUAUGAGGCCAUGGAUUGUGCUAAAGAAGAGAUAUUGCGCUAUGUUGGAGAUAAGCAUGGUGAUAUUUUGUCUUGGGUUGACAAGAUAUGGGAUAUCUACUUGCAUUCCCCACUGCAUGCUGCUGGUUAUAUGCUAAACCCAAGUGUCUUUUACAAAGACCAUGCCUGUAAUGAUCCUGAGGUCAUCAGCGGUAUUGAGGUCUGCAUCACCCAAAUGGCCAACGGUAAUUAUGAUCCAAAGAAAGUCAAAGCACAAACUGAAGUAUAUAGAAGAAAAUUGGGUUCGUUAGGUUCAGAUUCAUCAGCAAUUAAGAAAAUGAUGGAAUUACCACAAGUUUAUUGGUGGUCGGUGCAUGGGACUGACACACCUGAGCUGCAAACCCUUGCGACCCGGAUAUUAAGCCAAACAUGCUUUGGCGCUAAAAGGUACAACAUUGACUGGCACAUAUCUGAGAAGGUGCAUGAGGCGAAGGCAUUUCAUGACCAGGACCUUUAUCGCGGGCUGGAGUACGUCCACUACAAUAUGCGUCUCGCCAGUGCUAAACCACUCAUAGGAGGUCUUUGUGGGGAUCAGGUUGGUAAACCUGCCAGUCCGCUGGUGAUUGGAUCUGGGUUCCGCGGCAUCGCCAAUGACGGCUCACCGUCCAGACUCUGGAGCAAUGCGUCCAUCUCCUUUUUCUUUUUCCAGAAGCGCUCGCGCUCUCAUCUCCAAUCUGGUAUUCUGGUGUGAUUCUGAUUGUGCCUCAUCAGACUCUUGCUUGUUUUAUUUCUUGAACAAUCAUCAUAGCCAGGUGGACCUAGCUAUUUUCCAUAGAAACCGACUGUGGUUAAUUGUGGUGUAAUAGAAAAAAAUCUGUGACAUUCAGCCAUCAGAACCAUGACAGAUGACAUAUGGAGGUACCUUGGUGUAACCCCGGUGUGGGUGUUACCUAUAUUUUCCUUAUUUCUAAACUUUACCCCGUAUUCAUUCCUUGCAUCUAAUGUAAAACAGUGAUGCGUAGUGCAUGCAUAAUCUGACAUCUUUGCGUGGACAGAAUUUGCUAGUAGGAACCGUAUACUAUUAUAAUCUAUUGAAACCGAAAUGCUCGAUUCCUGGCUGCAUCUGUAAGGUUUAAUUCUUGGCUGAAAGAGUGCAAGAUUUGUUUCCCUUCUUUGCAAGACAUACAUGAAUGUAGUGUCUCAUUUAUAUAUGCGUGUACAUAUUUUUUGUUAGCCACUCGAAUUUUAUUAAACUAGAAUUCUAGUAUUGUAGUAUACAUAUAAUAUAGUGGUUGGAUACCCAUAUAUCAACAAAAUGUCCUACACAUUAUCAGUAUAAUAUUGUUUUUUAUAAUUUACCAUUUCAUAUAUCAAGGAGUUGAAUAUUUUGCCCUUUUUCAUAUUUUGUAAUUAUCAACGGUGGUAAAUCUAGUUGAUGAAUUUACUGUGCUAUUCUUGGUGAAUGUUAUUUAUGUUGAAAGAUUGGCAUUGUUAUGUUUGGCGAUUGGUAAAACAUGAGUCAAAUGCAAUCCAAAAGAAAUAUGUGGAUCUGAUGGGGGCAUGAUUUAGACAACACCCAGCUUGUGAAAAUGUCAUUGACAUUUCUUGUCAGAAUAUGGUUUCCAUGUUAGACAUCAUCCAGUUAUCAAGUGGUCGUGUUGGUAGUUUAAGUCUUCAACAUGUCACUGGAAAUGAUUUAGGUUUGCAACAAAGCAUUUCCUAACUUAUUUUUGCUUCAUCUACUGGGAUGUCCAAUGAUCAACGACA
Lolium perenne is the source of this 3053-nucleotide non-coding RNA. Lineage: Eukaryota; Viridiplantae; Streptophyta; Magnoliopsida; Poales; Poaceae. The record is from RefSeq and is a predicted model, not a curated record.